This 501-nucleotide long non-coding RNA is filed under the name Brassica rapa (field mustard). Its description in RNAcentral is "long non-coding RNA (BRAP_LNC005945)". The record is from RNAcentral. Lineage: Eukaryota; Viridiplantae; Streptophyta; Magnoliopsida; Brassicales; Brassicaceae.
AGACCAGCAAUUUUAUCUGUAAAUAUGUAGCAUAAUAUCUAAUUUUCAAUAAACUCUGCAUUCAUAAUUCAAUUAAAAUGAUACUAGCAGACCCUAAAAGAUACUAGACCUUGGCUUCCACAUAUGAUAUACCACAUCAUAUAUCAUUAAGAAAAUGUUUAUUAAAGAUUCCGCUUAAAGGAUUAGUUAAACAAUCCAUAGUGGAUUCAAAUUAUCAGUAAACGAGAUUUAACUUUAUAACUAGAUUUUGACCCGCGCUUAAAAAGCGCGGAUUUGUUUCAAAAUUAAAUAAAUUUUCAUAUAAGAUACAAUAUAGAUUUGAGUAUAUUUAUCCAGAACGCUGAAUCAAACCAUACCAAAAUGGAAAAUACAAAAUCAAAACUAAACUGAAUUGCAUAAAUAACCGAACAUAUCAUAUAUCUUUGAAACAAAAAAAAAAUAAAACCGAACUGAAAACCAAAUGGAUAUCUGAAUUUUUAAAAUACAAAUUAUAUGAUUAAA